GAGAAGACCCCAGUACAAACAUCACACACCAUGUUCUCUACAUCUCUACUGCUCCUGCUGGCAGCUGCUUCCUAUGUGCAUGGUAAGGAACUGACUCAGCCUGCUUCCAUGACAGUCCAGCCAGGCCAGAGUCUCUCCAUCAACUGCAAGGUUUCAUAUUCAGUUACGAGCUAUAACACACAUUGGAUUCGACAACCUGCAGGAAAAACUCUCGAGUGGAUUGGAAUCAUUCAUACUAGUGGGAGCACAAUUUACAGUGACAGAUUGAAAAAUAAGUUCAGCAUCUCCAGAGACACGUCUACUAACACAAUAACAAUUCGAGGACAGAACAAGCAGACUGAAGACACAGCUGUGUAUUACUGCGCUCGAGACUUACAGUGAUACACAUCACCAACAUCCCUGUACAAAAACAUCCUGUACAGAAAACUGUUCAGCAGCAAAACCAGAAAUACAACUUUUUAGCAGUU
Molecule: non-coding RNA, 467 nt
Organism: Silurus meridionalis
Lineage: Eukaryota; Metazoa; Chordata; Actinopteri; Siluriformes; Siluridae
Source: the annotation of a RefSeq genome assembly